Herpailurus yagouaroundi (jaguarundi) is the source of this 2360-nucleotide long non-coding RNA. RefSeq lists it as uncharacterized. The record is from RefSeq and is a predicted model, not a curated record. The transcript is spliced from 2 exons. NCBI's taxonomy places the organism in Eukaryota, Metazoa, Chordata, Mammalia, Carnivora, Felidae.
GGCCCCGCCUCCAGCGGGUGGGCGCGCGGCGUGCGCAGGGGGCGGUGGGAGGGCCCCGCGCGGCGCCACUAACCUGUGCUUACCGGGCGCCUGCUGUCUAUCGGCUCCUUCGCGACCUCCUCCGCCUGCAGAGCAUCUCCGGCCGGGGCCUUGGGCGAGUGACCGAGCCUCUCCUGGGUUGUCCCCAGGUUUGUCGGAGAGGGUGGUGACUUCACCUUGCAGGCAGGGUUGACCAUCUUAGCCGUUUUUAAGUGUACAGAUCAGCGGCGGGAAGUACGUUCACGCUAUUCCGCAGCCUCCGCCACCAUCCACAGGACGUUUCCACCAGUGAUGGUUUCACAGCGGACUGCCUUCCGAGGGGAGGCUCUGUCUUCACUCUCUUCUUGCCCAGCAGUCAGUCACUACGGAGUCUCCACCUGCUGAGUCCUGAGACACAGAAGGGCCCUGCCCUCCCCGAGCUUUUAGCACGUGAGACGGCAAGCAAACAAGGAACCCGACCGCUCCUUUGCAUCAGAUUAACCGCGGUCAGGCCUCUCCCAGCAUAGACACAAAAAUAAAAUCAGUAUCCUUUGCCCAUUCCAGCUAUCGCUUCCUCAGCUAACACCUCAAAGCAGUGGGUGGUCUCUCUCCACAGUCUCCUUUUCCCUAAGUCCCCUUCACUCCACUCCCUGGGAAAGAGGUCCCCUUCAGCAGGCAGGCCGUGCUGGCACAGGGAAGGAUGGCAGAGGGCAGGUGCACACCGGGAGGGAUGGCCAGGACAGGUGCACACGGGGAGGGAUGGCCAGGGCAGGUGCACACGGGGAGGGAUGGCCGGGGCAGGUGCACACAGGGUGGAAUGGCUGGGGCAGGUGCACAUGGGGCAGGGGCACACAGGGAGCUGGGAAGACAGUGGUGACAUUCCAGUUCUUAAGCUGGUGACAGGUGAUGGAUAGGUCAUUUUACUAACAGGAUUCAAGACUUAAGAUACGUGUUUCGCCUGUGUGGUUUUGUGUGCGCAUCAUUUUGCUCAGCCUGUCAUAACAGAGUACCACAGGCCACGAGGCAUAAACGACAGAAAUGCAAUCUCUCUCCGUUCUGGAGGCUGGGAGGCCAAGGGGCUGCUUCCUUCAAGGCUGGGAGGCGCCUCUGUCUGGGGCCUCGCUUGUGGGCUUGCUGGCCGUCUUCUGUGUGUGUGGUCACAUUACUUCCUUCCAUCUCUGUGUCCACAUUUCCUCUUUUGUAAGGGCGGAGCCACACUGCAUGAGGGCCACCCUCAUGACCUCCUUUUAACUUGAUUUCCUUUGCAAGGAUCCUGUCUUCAAAUAAGGUCACAUCUGAGGUCCUGGGGUUUAGUACUCCCACAUGUCCUUUUAAAGCCCAUAACAGUAUUUAUGAAAAAUUAUAGAAUGAACUGUUUUAAAAUGUUAUUUCCCUUGAAACAUUUAUAAGAAUGGUUACAGUAAAUUUUUAAAAACUGGCAAAACCUAGUGCCAAUGAAGAGAGUGCGCGGCUGGAGCCCUCCUACAUUGCUGGUAGGAAUGCAAAAUGGCAUAGCCCCUUGGAAAACAGUUUGGCGGGUUUGUAAAAAGUUAACAGUAACUCUACCAAGCAAACCAACACACACACUCCCGGGUAUUCGCCUAAGAGAGAUGGAGGCUGACAUUUGCACAGAAGCCUGAAUGCAAGUAUUUUUAGUGGCUUAUUCGUAAUUGCCAAAUACUGGAAAGCACCCAAGACUCCUUGAGCUGGCAAACGAACAGAUAGACUGUAGGACGUCUGUACAUCGGGACACUAACUCAGCAGUGAAUACCAACUGGUGUAGCAACACAGGUGAACCUGAGGUGCGCUCCACGUUGAGCCAGCCUCAAGACUGUAUCCUGCGUGAUUCCAUUUAGAGGACCUUCUGGACAAGGCAAAACGAGAGCGACAGGUGCUUUCCGGGGGGGAGCGGUUGGGGGAAGGGCUGAGUACGGAGGGGCAGAGGGAGGUUUCAGGGCUGAUGAAACCGCUCUUUAUCUUGAUGGUGGUGCUGGUGGUUCCUGGACUGUGUUGGUCAAGAUUCAUAAAACUCUGCAUUCAACAGGAUAAAUGUUGUCCUAUAUACGCUGUGGCUUCAUUUUGAAAAUCUUUUCAAAUGUAGUUUUCUCCCCAGCCAAGAUUUUCCUCCUUAGGAAGAAGGGGUACAUAAUGAAGAUUUAAAUGAAAGCAUUCAGAGGUGCUCAAUUAAUGUUUCCUCCGGGCCAGCACUUCCCAAACGACGCCCUGAAAUGGUGGCCUGCAGAGAGGGCUAUAGGGUACCCCCCUGGAUGAGAUAAAAGUGUUCCCCGGCCAGAUAGGAGCAGGAGACAGGUAAUAAAAUUUCAAAGGUUUAAUUACAGCCA